Long non-coding RNA from Lacerta agilis (Sand lizard), 164 nucleotides. RefSeq lists it as uncharacterized. The transcript has 3 exons. The record is from RefSeq and is a predicted model, not a curated record. NCBI's taxonomy places the organism in Eukaryota, Metazoa, Chordata, Lepidosauria, Squamata, Lacertidae.
GGGCCAAGCAGGCAUAGCUGGAAUUGCAGGACCUGGAGGAGCAAGAGGAGCACAGGGUGAAAUUGGAGUCCGGGGGCUUCCUGGAUUGGAUGGUCCUGAAGGAAUGAAGGGAAAGCCAGGAUCUCAUGGUGCGAUUGGACCCAGUGGUGCUACCGGACUGGCGG